This 301-nucleotide ribosomal RNA is filed under the name uncultured bacterium. RNAcentral's name for it is "partial 16S ribosomal RNA". It matches the Rfam family "Bacterial small subunit ribosomal RNA", at positions 509 to 809 of the family's 1533-position model. The record is from RNAcentral.
CAGUAGCCACGGUAAUACGAAGGGUGCAAGCGUUAAUCGGAAUUACUGGGCGUAAAGCGUGCGUAGGCGGUUUGUUAAGUCUGUUGUGAAAUCCCCGGGCUCAACCUGGGAACUGCAUUUGAAACUGGCAGGCUAGAGUCUUGUAGAGGGGGGUAGAAUUCCAGGUGUAGCGGUGAAAUGCGUAGAGAUCUGGAGGAAUACCGGUGGCGAAGGCGGCCCCCUGGACAAAGACUGACGCUCAGGUGCGAAAGCGUGGGGAGCAAACAGGAUUAGAUACCCGCGUAGUCCCUGUCUCUUAUAA